This 1018-nucleotide ribosomal RNA is filed under the name uncultured bacterium. Its description in RNAcentral is "bacterial SSU rRNA". It matches the Rfam family "Bacterial small subunit ribosomal RNA", at positions 500 to 1502 of the family's 1533-position model. The record is from RNAcentral.
ACUACGUGGCAGGCAGUCCGCCGGUUAAUACGUAAGGGCGGCGAGCGUGUCCGGAAUUAUUGGGCGUAAAGGGCUGAAGGCGGCCGGCCGCGUCCGUCGUGAAAUUCCUCCGGCUCAACCGGGGCUGCGGUGGGUACGGGUCGGCUGGAGUGCGGCAGGGGAGGCUGGAACUCCUGGUGUAGCGGUGGAAUGCGCAGAUAUCAGGGAGGAACACCGGUGGCGAAGGCGGGUCUCUGGGCCGUUACUGACGCUGAGGAGCGAAAGCGUGGGGAGCGAACAGGAUUAGAUACCCUGGUAGUCCACGCCGUAUACGUUGGGCACUAGGUGUGGGGCGUCCCCGUUCGCGGGGGCUCCGCGCCGUAGCUAACGCAUUAAGUGCCCCGCCUGGGGAGUACGGCCGCAAGGCUAAAACUCAAAGGAAUUGACGGGGGCCCGCACAAGCGGCGGAGCAUGCGGAUUAAUUCGAUGCAACGCGAAGAACCUUACCAGGGCUUGACAUGGGGGCGGUGGCGUCGGAGACGGCGUCUCCCUUUUUCGGGGCGCCCCCGCAGGUGGUGCAUGGUUGUCGUCAGCUCGUGUCGUGAGAUGUUGGGUUAAGUCCCGCAACGAGCGCAACCCCUGUCCCGUGUUGCCAGCGCGUCGUGGCGGGGACUCUCGGGAGACUGCCGGGGUCAACUCGGAGGAGGGUGGGGACGACGUCAAAUCAUCAUGCCCCUGACGUCCUGGGCUUCACGCAUGCUACAAUGGCCGGUACAGAGGGUGGCGAUGCCGUGAGGCGGAGCGAAUCUCGUAAAGCCGGUCUCAGUUCGGAUCGGGGUCUGCAACUCGGGCCCGUGAAGUCGGAGUCGCUAGUAAUCGCAGAUCAGCAACGCUGCGGUGAAUACGUUCUCGGGCCUUGUACACACCGCCCGUCACGUCACGAAAGUCGGCGACGCCCGAAGCCCGUGGCUCUGUCUGUUGGCGGGGAGCGGUCGAAGGCGGGGUUGGCGAUUGGGACGAAGUCGUAACAAGGUAGCCG